AAAACCCAUAGUCAUUAGCAGUCACUCCCUGUUCUCCCUCACUGCCCUUCAUCAGCCCAGAAUAAGAUUCUUAUUUUUUUUCUAAGACAGAGUCUCACUCAGUUGCCCAGGCUAGAGAGCAACAGUGCACUCACAGCUCACUGCAGCCUUGAACUCCCCAGCUCAAGCAAUCCUCCCACCUCAGCCUUGUGAAUACUUGGGACUACAGGACCUUCUCGGGAUUCUUCUGAAAUGUGUCUCAGAAUGCUGCCACAUAAUGAAAAGGGGAAGCACUGAUUCAUCAGUUUUCACCUCCUGCAUCAGAGAUGGCUUUGUAGGCAUUCAUCUCCCCACACCUCCAGGCUGUGCAUGCAUGAGUGCCAAGCUGGUCCUCACUGGAACCCAAAGCCAUGGAACCUGAGAAGUGUGGGGCAGGAAGCAAGAGGCAUAUGGGAGGAAAGCUGUCUCAAGGAAAGCUGCUGUCUGGUGGUAACUGAGGGAAGCUGCUAAGUCUGUGUGGAACUGUUCACCACAACAGUGGCUGAAGAGGUAGACUGAGGGGAUUUGAAGUGAUUUGCAAGUGCUGUUCAAUAUUGGCCCUUGGCCAGAAUGAGUGGUUUGCAACUGGCUGGUGAAGGAGAUAGAUGUCCAGAUGGCAGAGUGCCACCUUGGUCAUGUGACCAUGCAGUGUGGUUUGCAGAGUGGCAAGCACUAUAUGUUUCUCCACGCAGACCUCAUUGUUCUCUCUCUUCCAUGAGAAAGGAGAAAGCUGUCAUUUUGCUCCUUCUUAUGUCCUAAAUGGUGUACUUAAUGCCUAAUGAUGAGCCCUUUAAUGUGGGAAAUACUUACUAUCACAUUUGUCCUCAGCUUUCGGUCUUAAUUACCAUUUUUAAAGUUUAAGGAAAAAAUCCUAACUAUGAUACUUUUAAUAAGUAUAAGCAUCUGGGUCAUUCACAUGGUCACUACAUUACAAAAAAAAAAAAAAAAAAAAAAAAAAAAGAAGGUGCUUUUUAGUGUCCUAAAUCUGUAUUUGUGUCUAACAAGAUAAAUUAUCAUGGACUACGAUAGCUUUAAAAAGUAGCAAAAAAGCUUUUGACCAUUUUCUCAUCAAGAAACUGAGAGGUGGAGUCCGUGCCCCCUCACUCUAAAUCUGGGUAGAGUUGUGGCUCGCUGUAACCAGUAGAAUACAGCAGAAGUGACAUCCUGUGACUUCUGAAGCGAGGAUGGAAGACAUGAGGCGAAUUCUACUUCAUGAGCUGGGACAUUUGGGAGCCAAGUCUGGCUACCCUGAGGGUACGAUGCUGAGGAAGCUGAUGCUGCAUGGAAAGGCAAGUGUAGAGGCUUCUGCAACAGUGGCAUCUGAGGUCCCCAGUGACAGUCAGGAUCAAAGCACCUGUCUUCCCAGCUGAGCCCCAGAUAUCAUGGAGAAAAGACAAGCCUUUCCCACUACACUCAGUCUGAAUUCCUGACUCACAGAAUCCAUAAGCAUAAUAUACUCGUUGUUUAAGCAGCUAACUUUUGAGGGAGACAAUAAAUUAAAUGAAGGUCAAAUGACAUCACAGCACAUUGUACAGAUGGAAGACACAUAAAAGUUACAGCCGUGAAAAGACAUGGAAGAAGUGAAUCAUCCUAAAACACAAGGUAUUACAGGCAUGUUAAACUCCUUUAUGAAUAAUGAACUCAAUCAUUUUUUCACACAUUUAUUUCAGCAAAACAUCAUCCUUUGCAUUAACAUUAAUUUGGAUUUUAGAGUUUAUGUGGUUUUGUUUUUAUCUUUUAUGUAAGUUAAUUUUGGUCCUUCAGUUGUGUAAAAAUUAUAAGGAAAAUGAAUUUAUAUAUAACUAGUUAAAACUGACACAUACAGGAUACACAUUACAAUAAAAAGAAUUUAAGUCAAUCCUGAAAA
Molecule: long non-coding RNA, 1885 nt
Organism: Pongo pygmaeus (Bornean orangutan)
Lineage: Eukaryota; Metazoa; Chordata; Mammalia; Primates; Hominidae
Exons: 2
Source: RefSeq, a predicted model, not a curated record